Molecule: microRNA precursor, 121 nt
Filed under: Gossypium barbadense (sea-island cotton)
Lineage: Eukaryota; Viridiplantae; Streptophyta; Magnoliopsida; Malvales; Malvaceae
Also listed under: 1 other name
Description: MIR7504 microRNA precursor family
Rfam family: MIR7504 microRNA precursor family
Source: Rfam by way of RNAcentral
UUAUCGAGAAUGACAAAUCAGAUUUUUUUCUCUGAUUUUCAGCUUUUUCCUCUUGAAAAAAAUUAACCAAUUAAAAAUACUAAAAAUUAAGAGGAAAAGUCUAAUUUGUCAUUCUCGAUGA